Molecule: long non-coding RNA, 132 nt
Organism: Helianthus annuus (common sunflower)
Lineage: Eukaryota; Viridiplantae; Streptophyta; Magnoliopsida; Asterales; Asteraceae
Exons: 2
Source: RefSeq, a predicted model, not a curated record
AAUAAGCAUCAGAAAAGUGUUGGAAUUGUUCAUCUGAAGAUCUCGUCAUUUCGAGAAAGCAGAUCGGAUAGUAGACGGUUUUAUAUAUUUAUGGCUACAAAGACACUUCAUCUGAGGUGUAGUUUGAAGGAA